CACGUAGGGCGCGAGCGUUGUCCGGAAUUAUUGGGCGUAAAGAGCUCGUAGGCGGCCUGUUGCGUCCGCUGUGAAAGCCCGGGGCUUAACCCCGGGUGCAGUGGAUACGGGCAGGCUAGAGGUAGGUAGGGGAGAAUGGAAUUCCCGGUGUAGCGGUGAAAUGCGUAGAUAUCGUGAGGAAGACCAGUGGCGAAGGCGAAUCUCUGGACAGUAACUGACGCUGAGGCACGAAGGCUAGGGGAGCAAACGGG
This 251-nucleotide ribosomal RNA is filed under the name uncultured bacterium. Its description in RNAcentral is "partial 16S ribosomal RNA". It matches the Rfam family "Bacterial small subunit ribosomal RNA", at positions 524 to 776 of the family's 1533-position model. The record is from RNAcentral.